Molecule: ribosomal RNA, 588 nt
Filed under: uncultured beta proteobacterium
Lineage: Bacteria; Pseudomonadati; Pseudomonadota; Betaproteobacteria
Description: bacterial SSU rRNA
Rfam family: Bacterial small subunit ribosomal RNA
Source: RNAcentral
ACCCUGGCGGCGAGCGGCGAACGGGUGAGUAAUGUAUCGGAACGUACCCAGUCGUGGGGGAUAACUAUCCGAAAGGAUAGCUAAUACCGCAUACGACCUGAGGGUGAAAGCGGGGGACCUGCAAGGGCCUCGCGCGAUUGGAGCGGCCGAUAUCGGAUUAGCUAGUUGGUGAGGUAAAGGCUCACCAAGGCGACGAUCCGUAGCUGGUCUGAGAGGACGACCAGCCACACUGGAACUGAGACACGGUCCAGACUCCUACGGGAGGCAGCAGUGGGGAAUUUUGGACAAUGGGGGCAACCCUGAUCCAGCCAUUCCGCGUGAGUGAAGAAGGCCUUCGGGUUGUAAAGCUCUUUCAGCAGGAACGAAACGGUGGUUCCUAAUACGGACUGCUAAUGACGGUACCUGAAGAAGAAGCACCGGCUAACUACGUGCCAGCAGCCGCGGUAAUACGUAGGGUGCGAGCGUUAAUCGGAAUUACUGGGGCGUAAAGCGUGCGCAGGCGGUUAUGUAAGACAGGUGUGAAAUCCCCGGGCUUAACCUGGGAAACUGCGCUUGUGACUGCAUAACUUGAGUGUGGCAGAGGGGGUG